CAAAGGUUAAUUCCGGUGGCGGAUGGGCAUGCGUCGCAUUAGUUAGUUGGCGGUGUAACGGACCACCAAGACGACGAUGCGUAGGGGUUCUGAGAGGAAGGUCCCCCACACUGGUACUGAGACACGGACCAGACUCCUACGGGAGGCAGCAGUGAGGAAUAUUGGUCAAUGGGCGGGAGCCUGAACCAGCCAAGUCGCGUGAGGGAUGACGGCCCUAUGGGUUGUAAACCUCUUUUGCCGGGGAGCAAAGUGCCGCACGUGUGCGGUUUGGAGAGUACCCGGAGAAAAAGCAUCGGCUAACUCCGUGCCAGCAGCCGCGGUAAUACGGAGGAUGCGAGCGUUAUCCGGAUUUAUUGGGUUUAAAGGGUGCGUAGGCGGACGCUUAAGUCAGCGGUAAAAUUGCGGGGCUCAACCUCGUCGAGCCGUUGAAACUGGGUGCCUUGAGUGGGCGAGAAGUACGCGGAAUGCGUGGUGUAGCGGUGAAAUGCAUAGAUAUCACGCAGAACUCCGAUUGCGAAGGCAGCGUACCGGCGCCCAACUGACGCUGAAGCACGAAGGCGUGGGUACCGAACAGGAUUAGAUACCCUGGUAGUCCACGCAGUAAACGAUGAAUGCUAGUUGUCCGGGGCGAUUGAGUUCUGG
Molecule: ribosomal RNA, 642 nt
Filed under: uncultured bacterium
Lineage: Bacteria
Description: bacterial SSU rRNA
Rfam family: Bacterial small subunit ribosomal RNA
Source: RNAcentral